This 253-nucleotide ribosomal RNA is filed under the name uncultured bacterium. RNAcentral describes it as "partial 16S ribosomal RNA". It matches the Rfam family "Bacterial small subunit ribosomal RNA", at positions 524 to 776 of the family's 1533-position model. The record is from RNAcentral.
UACGUAGGGUGCGAGCGUUGUUCGGAAUUACUGGGCGUAAAGGGCUCGUAGGUGGCCAACUAAGUCAGACGUGAAAUCCCUCGGCUUAACCGGGGAACUGCGUCUGAUACUGGGUGGCUAGAGUUCGGAAGAGGCGAGUGGAAUUCCCGGUGUAGCGGUGAAAUGCGCAGAUAUCGGGAGGAACACCAAUGGCGAAGGCAGCUCGCUGGGACGUUACUGACGCUGAGACGCGAAAGCGUGGGGAGCAAACAGG